GCGACGGAAUUAGGGUUUCCUUGUGCGCAACUUUUAUAAAUUCGCAGUGAGACCCUCGGAGCCGCCCAUCUAUUAGUCGAAAAGAGCGAUCGGAUAGGGCUUCGGAUUUUGAGAGGGAGACGAUGAGGGCAAAGUGGAAGAAGAAGAGAAUGAGGAGGCUCAAGAGGAAGCGCAGAAAGAUGCGGCAGAGGUCCAAAUAAUUUGGUGAAUGCAAGGAAAACCUCUGCUUCUUUGCUUUGCUGCUACAAGUUUGGUGAAUCCUUUACACAGUUUUCAGCAUUAGGCGAGACUUGAACUUAAACAUUGCUGUUGUUGUGAACUUCUACUUAUUUUGCUUAAAAAUUCUGUCUUUGCUAUUGACCAUAGAGUGCAUCAUCGCUUCUGUUCUGACCCUCACAGUUGUUUUUUGUUUACUAAAUUUGGGUUACAUCUUGCUUGCGUUA
Molecule: long non-coding RNA, 443 nt
Organism: Dendrobium catenatum
Lineage: Eukaryota; Viridiplantae; Streptophyta; Magnoliopsida; Asparagales; Orchidaceae
Exons: 2
Source: RefSeq, a predicted model, not a curated record